AAGACCUUGCACUUUUGGAGCGGCCGAUGUCUGAUUAGCUAGUUGGUGGGGUAAUGGCCUACCAAAGCUUCGAUCAGUAGCUGGUCUGAGAGGACGGCCAGCCACACUGGGACUGAGACACGGCCCAGACUCCUACGGGAGGCAGCAGUGGGGAAUUUUGGACAAUGGGCGCAAGCCUGAUCCAGCCAUGCCGCGUGAGUGAAGAAGGCCUUCGGGUUGUAAAGCUCUUUCAGCCGGGAAGAAAAGGUUGCGACUAAUAAUCGCAAUCCAUGACGGUACCGAAAGAAGAAGCACCGGCUAACUACGUGCCAGCAGCCGCGGUAAUACGUAGGGUGCGAGCGUUAAUCGGAAUUACUGGGCGUAAAGCGUGCGCAGGUGGUUUUGUAAGUCAGAUGUGAAAGCCCCGGGCUCAACCUGGGAACU
Molecule: ribosomal RNA, 423 nt
Filed under: uncultured bacterium
Lineage: Bacteria
Description: bacterial SSU rRNA
Rfam family: Bacterial small subunit ribosomal RNA
Source: RNAcentral